Molecule: long non-coding RNA, 304 nt
Filed under: Amborella trichopoda
Lineage: Eukaryota; Viridiplantae; Streptophyta; Magnoliopsida; Amborellales; Amborellaceae
Description: long non-coding RNA (ATRI_LNC005418)
Source: RNAcentral
GAAGUAUUUUUCGUUUGAAAAAUAAAUUGAUAUAAUUUUUUGUUAUAAAAAAUAAAAGGAGGUAUAGAAAAAUAAUUUGUGGUAUUUCUCCAUAAAAAAUAAGUUGAGGUUCUUUUUUAAAAUAAAAAAACAAUUGGGGAAAGAAAAAAUAACUCGAGGUACUUUUCACUAAAGAAAUAAAUUGAGGUACUUUUUGAAAAUUAGAAUGAACAGAGGUAUUUUUCGUUUGAAAAAUAAAUCGAUGAAUGAUUUAGAAAUAAAAAAUAAAAUGAGGAAAAAAAUAAUAAUUUGAGAUACUUUUGGG